GCUGGCGGCAGGCCUAACACAUGCAAGUCGAGCGCGCCUUCGGGUGAGCGGCGGACGGGUUAGUAACGCGUGGGAACGUGCCCUUCUCUACGGAAUAGCCUCUGGAAACGGAGAGUAAUACCGUAUACGCCCUUUGGGGGAAAGAUUUAUCGGAGAAGGAUCGGCCCGCGUUAGAUUAGGUAGUUGGUGGGGUAACUGGCCUACCAAGCCUACGAUCUAUAGCUGGUUUUAGAGGAUGAUCAGCAACACUGGGACUGAGACACGGCCCAGACUCCUACGGGAGGCAGCAGUGGGGUAUCUUAGACAAUGGGGGCAACCCUGAUCUAGCCAUGCCGCGUGAGUGAUGAAGGCCUUAGGGUCGUAAAGCUCUUUCGCCUGUGAUGAUAAUGACAGUAGCAGGUAAAGAAACCCCGGCUACUCCGUGCCCGCAGCCGCGGUAAUACGGAGGGGGUUAGCGUUGAAGCC
RNAcentral lists this ribosomal RNA (465 nucleotides) under uncultured Alphaproteobacteria bacterium. RNAcentral's name for it is "bacterial SSU rRNA". It matches the Rfam family "Bacterial small subunit ribosomal RNA", at positions 35 to 543 of the family's 1533-position model. Lineage: Bacteria; Pseudomonadati; Pseudomonadota; Alphaproteobacteria. The record is from RNAcentral.